Long non-coding RNA from Serinus canaria (Common canary), 387 nucleotides. RefSeq lists it as uncharacterized. The transcript is spliced from 2 exons. Lineage: Eukaryota; Metazoa; Chordata; Aves; Passeriformes; Fringillidae. The record is from RefSeq and is a predicted model, not a curated record.
CUGUGGCAUCAAAGAUAGGAAAUGGCUAUAAAGCAGCUCAUAAAGACUAACAGUCAAACUUUCUGCUGUGCUCACAGACAAUGGAGUGCUUAAAACUAUCAUCACCUGAGAAGUGACAUGGGAUUAGAGAGUGUCUUCUAAAGAAGGGCAUGGAGCCCAUGAGGUCAAAAACAUAUAUAUUCCCUUGGCGGUCUCCAGCAAGGAGAGAAUCCCCAGAAUUGUCAAAAGCCACAUUCAGAAAAUGUAUUGUCUUUGAAUGGUACCCUUGGACACUGUGAAGAAUGUUCACUAUAACUCUGUGAAGAAAGCCAGCAAAACAGUCAUGCUUAGAAUAAUUUUAUUACCAUUUAUAUCUGUAAGACAAAGGAUUAAAAUGUUUCUAUCUUA